GGUAAGAUGGCUGAGAAUCAAGUGGUGGGUUGUAGCCCCAUAAACAGAGGUGAAACCCCUCUUCUUACCA
RNAcentral lists this transfer RNA (70 nucleotides) under Pristiophorus japonicus. RNAcentral's name for it is "tRNA-Tyr". It matches the Rfam family "tRNA". Rfam says of the family: Transfer RNA (tRNA) molecules are approximately 80 nucleotides in length. The record is from RNAcentral. Lineage: Eukaryota; Metazoa; Chordata; Chondrichthyes; Pristiophoridae.